RNAcentral lists this ribosomal RNA (216 nucleotides) under Glomeromycotina sp. RNAcentral describes it as "partial small subunit ribosomal RNA". The stretch from base 92 to 216 matches the Rfam family "Eukaryotic small subunit ribosomal RNA", at positions 738 to 864 of the family's 1831-position model. The record is from RNAcentral. Lineage: Eukaryota; Fungi; Glomeromycota.
GGGUCAGUAGGUUGGUCGUGCCACCGGUACGUACUGGUCUCACUGAUUCCUCCUUCCUGAAGAGCCGUAAUGCCAUUAAUUUGGUGUCGCGGGGAAACAGGACUGUUACUUUGAAAAAAUUAGAGUGUUUAAAGCAAGCUAACGCUUGAAUACAUUAGCAUGGAAUAAUGAAAUAGGACGAUCGAUCCUAUUUUGUUGGUUUCUAGGAUUGACGUA